AGUAACACGUGGAUAACCUACCUAUAAGACUGGGAUAGCUUCGGGAAACCGGAGCUAAUACCGGAUAAUAUUUUGAACCGCAUGGUUCAAAAGUGAAAGACGGUCUUGCUGUCACUUAUAGAUAGAUCCGCGCUGCAUUAGCUAGUUGGUAAGGUAACGGCUUACCAAGGCAACGAUGCAUAGCCGACCUGAGAGGGUGAUCGGCCACACUGGAACUGAGACACGGUCCAG
RNAcentral lists this ribosomal RNA (231 nucleotides) under uncultured Staphylococcus sp. RNAcentral describes it as "partial 16S ribosomal RNA". It matches the Rfam family "Bacterial small subunit ribosomal RNA", at positions 109 to 334 of the family's 1533-position model. The record is from RNAcentral. Lineage: Bacteria; Bacillati; Bacillota; Bacilli; Caryophanales; Staphylococcaceae.